Sugiyamaella lignohabitans is the source of this 82-nucleotide transfer RNA. It matches the Rfam family "tRNA". Rfam says of the family: Transfer RNA (tRNA) molecules are approximately 80 nucleotides in length. The record is from Rfam. Lineage: Eukaryota; Fungi; Ascomycota; Dipodascomycetes; Dipodascales; Trichomonascaceae.
GCCCUUUUGGCCAAGUGGUAAGGCACCUCACUCGUACGAUCUCGUCAUGAGGCGAUCGUCGGUUCAAACCCGACAAAGGGCA